AAGGCAGAGAAUCUGGAUUAUCUUGUGAAAUUGGUGAAGGAAGGAAAGCUGAGGACAGUGAUCGACUCCAAAUAUCCUCUGAGCAAGGCUGAAGAAGCUUGGGCUAAGAGUAUUGAAGGCCAUGCUACGGGGAAGAUCAUUGUGGAGCCUUAAAAUGCUUAUAUAGUAGGUUUGUGAUGUACUGAUGUUAACUUCAUGUUCUUACGUGUUAUACUGCUAUAGAAUAUGGGAUUCGAUAUAUGUGGAUUUUGUUGUAAAUGACGUGUUAUACAUAUUCAUUUUUCUUUUUUUUUUUGGAAGAUUGGGGUAUGUUGCAUGUGAACUCAUCAUUAUAUGCAAAUACUAAUUGAAAUAGAUUUCGACUUAAUAGGAGCAGUAUGUUAUUACUAGUCCUAAUUACUUGUGGAAUGAUGUAUAUGUGAUCCAUAAGAGUUUAGGAGUCCAUUAGCAACAAAUAUGUGUUGGUGAUGCAUAAGGAAAACCUUAUACGAGUUAACCUUGGAUUGCUAAGUUGUGUCGUUGUGGGAGAUCACUUGGUGUCGUUGUAACUAUAAAUAAGGAGCUUUGUCUCUGCUCUCUACAACAAGACCUUCAAACCAUCCCAUCUAUGGUGUUUAAAGCUAGCAGAGAGGAGAUUCUGAAAUUUUUUAUUCCACUAGAAUCAAUGAGAAAACUACAACCAAAUUUGACCAAAAAAACUAACUGAAAGCAUAUUCCAUCUAAUAGAAGGUACAAAAAAGACGUCAUACAUAACUAAAAAUUUCCGAAACCUAAAUCCAAUCUAAAGGGUCCUACAGCCUUCACUGCUACCCUCAUUUCAUUUCCAACAUAGACAUUGAGCUCAAAGGAGGAGAAAAUUAACCAAGGAAUGAAGAGCUCAACGUCUGCGUUGGGAAUGGAAUGAGGGUAGCAGUGAAGGUUGUAGGACCCCUUAGAUUGGAUUUAGGUCUCCACAAAUUUUAGUUUUGGAUGAUGUCUUUUUUGUACCUUCUAUUAGGAGGAAUUUGCUUUCAGUCAGUCUUUUGGUCAAACUUGGUUGCAAUUUUCUUAUUGAUUCUAGUGGAAUAAAAUUUUUCAUAAAUUCUCUCCUCUUUACUAGCAAGGUCGGUCCUGGCCCAGUGCACCUAGUGCGAUAGCACUAGGCCUUAGACAAAAAGGGCACAAAACAGGCCUUAAUUACGUUUCAGUUCUCCUAAUCUUUGCCAAAUUCUGCUUCAGUUCUCUAUGUAUGUAUAAUUAAGUCUGUGUCUUUUAUGGAUUGAGAUGUGGGAACCAGUAACACAGCAGGAGGCUAACGUUUUUAUUAAAAAAAUUAGUGGCCGACAUGUUUGCUAUUUGUAGCGUCUCACUAUUUCUUUCUAUUAAAAUAACUUUUUUGCAUAGAUUAGAAAUUUAGAACAACUCUGUCAUUCACUCUUAAAAAAAGAAAAUCUUUUAUCCUUAUCAAAUGAGAAUACAAUAAAUUUUACAUAUAUAUAUAUAUAUAUUUACAUAAUUAAGAGAAAACAUUAUUAAUAAGGGGCAAAAAAAAUAUAUAAGAUGUACUUCUUAUACCCAGUCUCAUUUGAUCUAGCAGCAUAGUCUCCUCUUAAUAGAUGAGAGGUUGUGAGUUCAAUUCAUGAAGUUGUAAUACGUGAUAAAUAAAAAAAAAGGGUUCUGUAUUACAAUAUCAAGAUUAAGAGUAUAUUAAUAGGUUCAAAACCAACAAAAAAGGGUAUUUUUAUGAUAAAAGUUUUAGCAUAAGGAACAAUUUUUUUUUCCACACCGGGCCUUCAAUUCUUCAGGACCGGCCCUGUUUACUAGCUUUAGACACCAUAGAUGGGAUGGUCUGAAGGUCUUGUUGUAGAGAGAGCAUGGAGAAAGCUCCCUCCUUAUUUAUAGAGUUACAAUGACACCAAGUGAUCUCCACAAAGACACAACCUGGUAAUCUAAAGUUAACUCGUAUAAGGUUUUCCUUGUGCAUCACCAACACAAAUAUUUGUUGCUAAUGGACUCCUUAACUCUUAUGGAUCAGGUAAACAUUAUUCCACAAGUAACUAGGACUAGUAAUAACAUAAUGCUUGUAAUACCCCCAUAAAUUUGCUAUUACUUUCUAAUAUUAUGGGGGAAUUUUCGAGGUAGAAGUUAGUGUGUUUUGAGGUUCGAAGGAAGAGCGGUUUGGAUGCAUAAUUUACCCGAAUCGGUUUUUAUGGUUUUGAAGGGUCAAGAGUUGACUUUCUAAUCUGUCGGGUUUCUCGAGAAACUUCCUUCACGAAAGUUGUAGAGCACAACGAUACGAGUUCGUGGACAUGUGGCACGCGUAAAACGGACUUCGUAUGAGAAAGUUAUGGUCAGCAGAAUUUCGUGGNNNNNNNNNNNNNNNNNNNNCUCUCUCUCUCUCUCUCUCUCUCUCUCUCUCUCUCUCUCUCUCUCUCUCUCUCUCUCUUUCUUCUCUCUCGCGAUACCUUCGGUAUCAAAGUCUUCCAGCCGACCCGACCCGACCCGAAUUCGGUGACUUGAUCCAGACUUUCCGGCGUCGUCCGACGUCGCCCAACCGCGCCACCAGUCUGAACCGACUCCUCUUCUCCUUGCCUUCGUCCUCCUCUAGCUGGUUCACACCGAUUCGGUUAUGAAGUAGUGACCCGAAGCUCGGAAGUUCGGCUUGGAGACCGGUCGGGAUUCUCACCUCCGGCUGGGGCAACAAGGCUAGAAACCGGUCGGGAUAGGAGCUCCUUGGCACCCUGGUUCGACUUCAGGUAGUCUUGAAGCUCGACUCACGAGGGAGAGUGGUGGUGGUGGAUUCCAACUUUCCGGCGAGCUUUCUGGUGUUUUUCGGCCGAUUCCGGCCGAACUGGUUGAACCUCCAGGUAUAAAAGAUGCUCACCAUGCUUCAAUCUACAAGUUUGUUGUUGGAAGUUUGUUGAGAUUUCGAAGUUGUUGGGGUGGCGUGUGGGGCCCACUCACCGCCGCCUGUAGUGGCGCGUUGGGCAGGGUGUGUAGGUUCAGUUGCUUUGUUUAGCUAGUUCUUGUUGUUGUGAGCAUGUUGAUAUAUUAUGCGAUUAGGUCAAGUUUGAGUAAGUUUUCUUGUUAGAUUCUAUGUUAUUGUAGACUUGUGCGAAGUGUUGAGCUAGGAGAAUCCAAAGUUAGGCAGCGGGGGAAGAUGGUUAAGUGUUCGAUGAUCUUGGGAGGUCUCGAAAAAAGGUUGUUCUUUUUUGGGCAAAUCAUGGGUUAAGGUUUGUUAAGGGUGAAAUGUUCUUUUUGUUUAAGUGGUUAUUAAGUUAUUAAUUGUGUAAUUAUAGGUAGCUUGUGGAGUUGAUAUUUAAGCUUGGCUCUUUUGUUGUGUUGAAGACGUAGCGGGAUUAUUUAGGUGAGUAAAAUCUCACCAAGGUCCACUUUGUGACCUAUUUAUUUAUGAUGAUUAUGAUGAUGAUAAUGUUCAUGAAAAUGUUGAUGAUUAUGAUGAUGAUAAUGAUUUAAAAAAAAUUAUGUUUCCUUUUUUGUUUGUUCUAAAAUAUAUGAGCUUGAUCGCCAACGGCUCAUAGGUAAGAGAAAACAAGUUUUUCUUUUUAAAUGAUUAUUUUUAAGGUUCUAGUGACUAUAAUAUCUUUAGUUCUUGGUAGAUUAUUCUUGUGAGAAAAUCUGUGUGUGUGUAUAUAUAUCUCUUUGUGAAAAGGUAUAUUAUAGUGAAGUGUCGCUUGUCUGGUUUUAUUGAUGUGGUUAUUUGUGUAUUAGUUGUGGAUGUGUGCAUUAGAUUAGGAGCCUUCGUGGUGGACCGGGAACAAAGCCUUGGCCGGAUGAUUGGUUACGGUCAGUAUAGAGCUUUACUCUGUCGGUACUUCAUGGGGGAUGACUAUGUGUUGACAAACCCAUGAGUACGUGUUUGUCUAGUUACUUAUGAGGGAUAACUAUGCGUUGACGAACUCAUAAGUAAAGGUUGAGAAAUGAUUGUGUGAUGUUCGUAUAUGUUGUCAUAUAAAUUUUUUGCUUUGAGUAUCUCCUGAACUAAGCUUAUCCGCAGGAGAUUCUCUAAUUUGAUCGUGUGAUUUUAAUGGAAUCCCUUAACUAUACUUUUUGCAGGAUUUCAUUUAUGAUUUGAUUGAUUUUGAAUUGUUGUGUUCUCUUAAUUAUUUCUUUUGAAUUCUCUUGCUUUUGGGGAUUCCUGAACUAAAUUAUUAAGGCAAGAAUUUCCAGUUUUAUCUUAUGUGUUGUUGGAAUGGUUGAGUUUUAUUUUGAGAGUUACUCAUACUAGAUUUUUAAGCUUACCAGGUUUGUUGUUUACAACCCGGUGCACCAAUUCAUGGUGUAGGGGUUAGACCUGUAGGUGAUAAUCAACAGGGUUGAGGCAAUGGCUUAGGAGCUGGGUUUUAGGCGAUGUACUUUUUUUUAUAUCAUGGCAGUUGUUUUUAAGCUCAUGUGAGCGAUUUUUUAUUACUUGACUUUUGAAGUUGUUAUAAUUAAGGAGAUAUAAUGUUUAACUCAGUUGUUGAGUUUGUUGACAUUUACAUUUCCAGUAUUUGAUUAUAGUUUGAAAGUUGUUGAGCAGGUUUUGGGAUAAUAAGAUUUUAAGAUAUAUCAUGCCAAAUUUUUGAAAAUUUAUCCUUCAAAAAUUUCAAAAAUUGUAAAUUUUCAAAAAUAGGGUGUGACAAUGCUCUUAUUAAGUCGAAAUCUGUUUCAAUUAGUAUUUGCAUAUAAUGAUGAGUUCACAUUAUGGUUCUAAAAGGAAGAUCCUUGUUGCGAACCAUUUCAGUUAUCCAUUUCAAUAGGAUGUGUGUUAGAAAUUAUAUAUGCAGAUCAACCACAAUUACAGAAAUAUAAAUAUGAAUCUAAAACUUGAUAUAAAUAAGAUCAACUUUACUUUAUAUAUUAGAACAGCAGCAGCAGCACUUGAAACCAAAUUGCUUUGAAUACAAAAUACUGACCUGAUUGAUGAUAGAGGCUUGCUUGCAGCAAUCUCCUACGACAGAAUUUCGCCCCUACUGUAGUGCACGUAGCUUCUAGGACGUCUAUUUUGCAGGAUACAACUAUCGAAUUGACACGACCCGCCUCAAAUUUCACCCAGAAACCCAGAGUAAGUCGUACGGGGACCACCUUCAAGGAAAAUUUACAAAAAAAUCGGCAUAACCUCUCUUGAAAAUGGACAACCCUUCCUAAUAAUACCUGCAAACACUUCUGAAAAUUUAAAUCCAACCUUAAACUCCUGGAGCCUCCGUGCUCCCCAAAACACAACACCACCCAAAUUAUUUACUAAUCUAAACAAAUCUCAUAUCCAACCAUUAUUAGGUUCAGAGCAACUCUAACAGGAAAAAAAGAAACAUAAUAAAUUAACAAACGGAAGCUAUAUGAUGACUAUGCCUCAUCCCCAUGUACGCCCGACCUCAACUAUGCAAUCCUGCAAACUGGGCAUUUUUAAAACGAAGAGCCCAAGAGAAAACAUUUGAAACACGUUAGAGUGAGUGGACAAAAAUAAAUUAACGAAUAAAAUAUUUAUGUUUCCCCAAAUCAAUUUCCAAGGAAAAUCGAAUGCAUGCUGCAAGCGAUAAAACUUUUAUCUCAUAAAUGUCAAGCCUCUCAGGCUCUAUAAUAUAUGUAUGUAUUUACACACGUUCAUACUCCCUAUGUAAAUUCAUGGGUCUAUAUAGGGCUACUACGCUCGCGUCCAACGCUCACGUCACGCCUUAAUGCGGUGCUACACUACGCCAUUAAGGUGGACAGACGGGUGUAUAAAUAUGUGCCCAUACCCCCUGUAUGAAUUAAACACUCAUAUAGGGCUACUACGCUCGCGUCCAACGCUCACGUCACACCAUAAUUCGGCUAUAUGCUACGCCAUUAAGGUGGACAGACACAUAGGGCUAGCUAGCNNNNNNNNNNNNNNNNNNNNNNNNNNNNNNNNNNNNNNNNNNNNNNNNNNNNNNNNNNNNNNNNNNNNNNNNNNNNNNNNNNNNNNNNNNNNNNNNNNNNNNNNNNNNNNNNNNNNNNNNNNNNNNNNNNNNNNNNNNNNNNNNNNNNNNNNNNNNNNNNNNNNNNNNNNNNNNNNNNNNNNNNNNNNNNNNNNNNNNNNNNNNNNNNNNNNNNNNNNNNNNNNNNNNNNNNNNNNNNNNNNNNNNNNNNNNNNNNNNNNNNNNNNNNNNNNNNNNNNNNNNNNNNNNNNNNNNNNNNNNNNNNNNNNNNNNNNNNNNNNNNNNNNNNNNNNNNNNNNNNNNNNNNNNNNNNNNNGCGGCGCCGGCGCCGGCUCUGCCGGCAGCAGCGGCCGGAGGCCGAUUCCGGCGACCUCCAAAUCCUACCAAAUUUUAACAGUAGCUUCCUCUCCACUCCCUCUACAACUUUCCUAACUAGCACAAACCCAAAAUCCAAGCCUAACUAGGUCAAACGAGCAAAAACAUCUAAAACACCCUAAAACUUCCACCUCUAAUUUCUCCUUACUUGAAGCGAACCGGAGUGAGCCUUUUUAGGGCAAGGCAGCUGGGUUGGAGACCUUCAAAACCGUACCAAGCUUGCCCGGAUUGGUGGCCGGAGGAGGGAGUUCCGGCGAAGGAGGACUUUGGGCAGCCCGAGGUUCUAGGCGGGAGAACUCCUUCACGGCGGCGCUAGGGCAGCCUUCACCGGCCUAGAAUGGAAGCUGGGUCAGAGGGCAACCGAACGGGACCGGAGCGGCGGCCUACGGUGGCUGGACAGCGGCGAGCUGAGCGGAGGAAACCGGCGGGGGAGAGAGAGCUCGGGAGGGAGAGAGAGAAGAGAGAAAGAAAAGAGAGAAGAAGAAGAAAUAGGCUUGGGCCUCCUACCCGGUCCAAGUCCUAUAUACAACCCAAUUCCAAAAAUAAAACACCCCGAAAAAAUAAUACCUGAAUAAAAAUUACCUUUUACUAGCUAAAAUUUACCAUUUUUACUGUCGUCAUAUUUUUCGCCUACGAAUAAUUCCCCGAAAUUAAUCGUCCCUCAAAACACCUCUAGGGACCGAUUAAACUAUUAUCUCAAUGACGGAGACGGUAAAAUUCUUAUUAUAACCAAGCUAGUAAAUAAGGUAAAAAUUUAAGAGUCGGGAUGUGACAAUUCUCCCCUCCUUAUAAAAAUUUCGUCCUCGAAAUUUACAUACCUGACAAAUCAAAGAGAUAAGGAUACUACUGCCUCAUUUGCUCCUUUGAUUCCCAAGUAGCUUCUUCUACUUGGUGACUCCUCCACAGAAUUUAACAAGAGGAAAAGAUUUGCUUCUAAGCAGUUGCUCCCUCUGGUCUAAAAACUGAACUGGAUCCUCAUCAAAGGUCAAAUCUUUCUACAAAAUAAUCGGCUGCUCUUGCAACCCAUGAGAGGAAUCGGCAAUAUACUUGUGAAACAUGAAUACAUGGAACACAUUAUGUAUCCUGGAUAAUUCUGGAGGCAAAACUAACUGAAACGCAAGAGAGCCAACUUGAUCUAAAAACCCGUAAGGACUAAUAAAUCUUGGACCAAGCUUUGCACGUUACUAAAACGUACCACCCCUUUCCAAGGAGACAAUUUCGAAAACACCCAAAAUACUCACUUGAAACUCAUGGUCCUUCAUGCGAACAUCUUUAUAAAUCUACUGGCUACUAAGAGCUGCUUUAAGUCUACCUCAAACUCCUUUAACCUUUUCAUUUAAAUCCUGAAUUAUUUUAAAUCUUCUCAAAGACUCUAAAUCCUUCAUUGAACUGCCACUAACGUUUACACGUAAGUGAGUUCAGUGAUACCUAUUCCAGAGUACGAGUACCCGUAGGUAUGCACACUCUUUCCUGAGCAAUGGAAAUAGUUAACCCAAAUAAAGCGCAUAAAUUUUCUAUCACCAUCGGGCUCAAAUCUCCUAACGUCACGCGACAACCUCGUCAAUACGCUGCUCACAGCUCGACAAUGAAACCCACUUGCUAGGAAACUAAAGUUCACACAUUCCCACAUGCUCAUAGGGGUCAAAAUUAAGACCCGUUAAGUUAAGUGAACAGACUUUUAAGGAUGCACACACUGCAGAACUGCAACAAUCACUCCUACUACCGAGACACCUCGCAGAGUCUUUCGCGGAGCCAAAGCUCUCGCAAGUCCACAAGAUAACCUUGCUCUGCCUAAAUGACCAGUCCACCAACAAAUGAUAACUUCGAUUUUCGAGAUAACAUUAUGAAAAGAUCAAUAGCACGUCACUUAGGUCUCUCCACCAAAAUUAUUACAUUACCAUUUUAUGCACCACCAGACUAGCAGCUUAUGGGAAUUCCAACUCUCCUGAUUCUACUAUCUCCACUAUUCUCUUUACCACAAACCAGAAGAUAAUCGGAAUCAUGACUAUCAUGUGGAAACUAGGAAUUCCUCCAUGCUCGCCAUAAACAAAACUGACUAAUAAUGCCCACGAAAAAUUGGCACAGUCAAUUCAUGAUGAUAAACUUGACGUUGAAAUCCACAUAAAUAGAACACCUCCUUACCUCUAACAACAAUAAAUCUGAUAGCAGAAAACAAUCUGAAAAUCAGAUAUGCUCAAGUCUCCUACACAUCCCAGGCCACGACUUCCCACCAAAAAGAUUCUUCGAAAACUGAGCUUGCAAUAACUUAUGCGACUAACAAAAGCAAAGACAAAUUUUUAUACAAGACCCACUACUACACCUUGUGGUUCACCAACUAACGAAAACCAUGAAUUCAAGCAAGAAUCAAAACUCAUGGCUUAACUCAACUCAAGCUCCAAAAGAAAUAAUUUAAAGCACACGAAAAGCAAGUCCUCUAACUUCGAGCUCAAAAGCUCCACAGAUCUCCGAUAUUCGCCAGAACCCGCUUCGAAAUCGCACUAGAAACCUCCACUAAUCAUCCUAACACCAACAGAUAAACGCACAACCAAAAAGCAAAGACCUCCCAAACAAAAACUUGGAUCAAUGAGUGGUCCCACCACAAAACGAUCCUGAGAAGAGACGUUGAUCAACCUAUCAAUAAAUCUACUAUUCGCCAUAAUAAUCUCUUAAUAAACCUUGACUCGAAAAACUUCUUGAGUCAACAGGGGAAAACCUUCUCCCAUAAUGCUACAUCAUGAAAUAUACCUACAACGACACAAACCAUCAAAUCAACAUCACCAUGCAACUCUUAAACUACCACAUAGGAUUUACGGCACCAAGACUCAUCGCUUAAAUGAACUCCAGCUCACUUGGGAUCACCACUGGAUUUAUUCCGGAACCAUGACUACGACACAACUACCAAAUAUCAUUUACCUCGAAACUUCGACAAAAUAACCAGAAUUUCUACCCUUCAAAUCGAAGCGUUGAAUCCGCAUUCCAAAAUUUCAAGCUCUGAGGAUACUACCUAAAAACUACAGUAGGAAUAAUUUAAAUAUUCCCACACACACCACAACCAAAACUUUACUCCAUCUCACCGAAUUAGAAAUAAGGUGAGAACAGAUUUGCCGCCUGUAGUCACCCAUUGUGAACGAAAUGAUGUCAAAACCAACUUCGAUCACAAAUUUGAGACUUACAUCAUCCACCCGGAAUGACAUUGCUUAAAAAAUACUUUGGACACCCACGCACUCUUGCUUUAUGAUCUAGUGGGUUCUAUUCUACCGCUGCCACUUCCACCAAUUUCAUGCAUCUACCUUAGAAUUUAUAAAACAAAAACUCAUGACAACACCUAUUUAAAAUUUCACCAUGUGUUGUCGUAAAACUGGAGUGACCACAACCAUCCCGCUCUCACUCCACCAUUACUUUUCGAUUCCAUUACAUUAUCAUCUUCCCAAACACUCAACAAAUUUGGAAACCAAACUUCAACACCUGGAAUUCCAAAAGAAUCCAUACUGGCCCCACGAUUAAAAUAAUAUAACCGACAACUCACUCCAUAAUUCCAAACUUGCUUGAAACUCAACAUUUAAUGCCAUCAAUAAAAUUAUAAAAUUCCCCAACUGUGGCACAACAAGAAGUUGUCACAACGCACUGACGAAUGACUUUUGUAAAACCAACAAUCCAAGUCAUUCUACUUAGUGUUUUAACAAACUUCAACUAACCCACAAUAGAGACCAAAAUCAUCAGAAAACUUACUAUUCAUCGACUACUAACAUCCAUCAUUUUCAAAAUAUAUUACCACUACCAUCUAGAUAAAAUGCUCUAAGGAUAGAAACAUAUCCAUAAUUAGCACUGCAGAAACCAGAACAUAUACCGCCAUAACCAAAAUUAUCCCAACAUGUUCCCAAUUGAUUUAUGUUGCAGAUAAAAUUGUCGGCAAAAUGGCUUUCAAUCAAGACUUAUCUAAAUUGACAUUUAGCUCUUUAUGCAGCAAUACCUUACCAUCCAAUCACUAGCCACAAAUUUCCUAAAACCUUGAUUAACCCAAGACUAGGGUCCUCAACAACUCAUAUAGGUACCCCUUUGAAUUACCAUUGGAUACCUCACCUCAUCAUUUCAACUAACUUUUUCAUCAAUAGAAUACACCACUACUUCGAACUUUCCUUCCAACUCAACUCUCUCAAAAGUCACGUAACUCAAUACGAAAAUCUCCCAUCUAUCAAUUUUGACUCCAAUCUUGCCCACAAAAAAAUGGACAACUCCAAGGCAUUAAUCAUCAACAUUUCACCCAACAGAUUUGCACAAGAUGCUCACCUUAGCAUCUUAAUCUGAAACCCUAAUCUUAAUUAACCCAAUCAAUCAUUGGAUACCUGAAAGGAAUGCUAACAAGCUUUUUCGUUCCCCACUCGCAAAACAACUCCAACAAUUAAUAUCAAAAAUAUUAAAUUAAUGAACCUUGGAAUAGGUGCAAACUAUACACCUUUUCAAAACUCGAAGGAUGAACACUCAAGAGGUCGGCGUACGGAGGCAUAGUCUUAGAGAUGUAGACAUUUAUGGCACACUACUGUCCAUAAAUAAAAGAAGAACAACUACAUCACAAACCUAAUCAACACAUAGUGUCUAAAGCAUAUAAUGCUAAUAGAUCCGCCGCGGUCGGACCAUCACUCUAUAGACACUAAGCAUGACCAAGAAUAUGAGAUAGUACUAAAAAGAGAAAGGAAACGAAUAACCUAGUGCUCUGAUACCAACUGACACGACCCACCCCAAAUUUCACCCUGAAACCCAGAAUAAGUCGUGCGGGGACCACCUCCAAGGAAAAUUUACCGAAAAAUCGGCAUAACCUCCCUUGAAAAUGGACAACCCUUCCUAAUAAUACCUGCAAACACUUCUGAAAAUUUAAAUCCAACCUUAAACUCCUGGAGUCUCCGUGCUCCCCAAAACACAACACCACCCAAAUUAUUUACUAAUCUAAACAAAUCUCAUAUCCAACCAUUAUUAGGUUCAGGGCAACUCUAACAGGAAAAAAAGGAAACAUAAUAAAUUAACAAACGGAAGCUAUAUGAUGACUAUGUCUCAUCCCCAUGUACGCCCGACCUCAACUAUGCAAUCCUGCAAACUGGGCAUUUUUAAAACGAAGAGCCCAGGGGAAAACAUUUGAAACACGUUAGAGUGAGUGGACAAAAAUAAAUUAACGAAUAAAAUAUUUAUGUUUCCCCAAAUCAAUUUCCAAGGAAAAUCGAAUGCAUGCUGCAAGCGAUAAAACUUUUAUCUCAUAAAUGUCGAGCCUCUCAGGCUCUAUAAUAUAUGUAUCUAUUUACACACGUUCAUACUCCCUAUAUAAAUUCAUGGGUCUAUAUAGGGCUACUACGCUCGCGUCCAACGCUCACGUCACGCCUUAAUGCGGUGCUACACUACGCCAUUAAGGUGGACAGACGGGUGUAUAAAUAUGUGCCCAUACCCCCUGUAUGAAUUAACCACUCAUAUAGGGCUACUACGCUUCGCGUCCAACGCUCACGUCACACCAUAAUGCGGCUAUAUGCUACGCCAUUAAGGUGGACAGACACAUAGGGCUAGCUAGCAUUUUUAUACAUACUCUCCUCAUAAAUACAUAUUUAUAUUCACCGAAAAUCCCAUUUUCGGUAACUCUCCAAGAGAAAUAAAAUCGUCAAAAUAAAAUGACGUCAAAAUGCUCCACAACAUUAAUUGUUCAUCUAUGAACUAUAGCAUGCAUUUUAUUUAAAACAAAAGUCCACUCAUAACUCUAGGCAUAAGCCCGACGAAAUCCAAAUCGCCACUCCAAUGAGGUUUCCUCGAAACCUGGCACAAAUUUAAAAAUUAAUUCCCAACUAAAACUCCAAUAUUUAAACAAAAUAGGCAAAAUUAACCGAGAGCCAUAGCUACGCUCAUCAUUGCCUAACUUCGAUAUUCUUAAAUCGAAACGAUCCGAACUUAAAUAUUAUACUCGGCAGCCGUAAUUACAACCUCCCCAAAAAUACGACUUAAAUCCUACGGCCGGAUUCUACAUUAAUUAACCGCCAAAAAUACCACACUUCGGAAAUUCAUAAACCUAUCCAAAACUCAUCCAAAAAUUCCAUAACUCACUUCAACAAACUCCCCUUAAUAUUCUAAAUUUAAAGCCCUAAAAAUCUUCCAAACAGUGGCGGCGCCGGCGGAGGCUCUGCCAGCAGCAGCGGCCGGAGGCCGAUUCCGGCGACCUCCAAAUCCUAUCAAAUUUUAACAGUAGCUUCCUCUCCACUCCCUCUACAACUUUCCUAACUAGCACAAACCCAAAAUCCAAGCCUAACUAGGUCAAACGAGCAAAAACAUCUAAAACACCCUAGAACUUCCACCUCUAAUUUCUCAUUACCUGAAGCGAACCGGAGUGAGCCCUUUUAGGGCAAGGCAGCUGGGUUGGAGACCUUCAAAACUGUACCAAGCUUGCCCGGAUUGGUGGCCAGAGGAGGGAGUUCCGGCGAAGGAGGACUUUGGGCAGCCCGAGGUUCUAGGCGGGAGAACUCCUUCACGGCGGCGCUAGGGCAGCCUUCACCGGCCUAGAAUGGAAGCUGGGUCGGAGGGCAACCGAAUGGGACCGGAGCGGCGGCCUACGGUGGCCGGACGGCGGCGAGCUGAGCGGAGGAAACCGGCGGGGGAGAGAGAGAAGAGAGAAAGAAAAGAGAGAAGAAGAAGAAAUAGGCUUGGGCCUCCUACCCGGUCCAAGUCCUAUAUACAACCCAAUUCCAAAAAUAAAACACCCCGAAAAAAUAAUACCCGAAUAAAAAUUACCUUUUACUAGCUAAAAUUUACCAUUUUUACCGUUGUCAUGUUUUUCUCCUACGAAUAAUUCCCCGAAAUUAAUCGUCCCUCAAAACACCUCUAGGGACCGAUUAAACUAUUACCUCAAUGACGGAGACGGUAAAAUUCUUAUUAUAACCAAGCUAGUAAAUAAGGUAAAAAUUUAAGGGUCGGGAUGUGACACGAAUUCUGUUUAUGCACUUCAACAGAAUUCCUGGCAAACUGUAUUUUGUGUUUCUUAAAAAAUAUUAAGGGAAGAAGAGAAGGAUUUUUAUUCUUUUGAUUUUUCUGGUUUGAUCGUCUCUUAUAGACUACGAAUUGAACAAUUGCAAUGCUUCGGUAGAACUAAAACGUUGCAAUGGUUUGUUCAAAACCAGACUCUUCCAACAGACAUAUCUGUUGCAAAAUAGAAUCCAGAUAAAAGGAAAAACAGUUUUCUGAUUUUUAUUUAUAAGACCCCAAGGCCCAUAUAUAAAUAAUUAUAUAUAUACACACACACACACACUCAAAGCCUAUUAACACAUAUGUCAAGUGAAUACAUAUAAAGGCUAACAUCAAAACUAUUUUUCCAAUGUGGGAGUCUCCCACAUUCUUCAACAAUGUCAAGAAAAUAAGCCUUUAAAAUUUUCGGAGAAAGUAGAAUCAAUAUGCAUCGGAAAAUGUGUCUUUUGGACUUGAACCUUUCCUAGUAACAACUUAUCGGUAUUACUUAGUGAGGUAGUGAUAAAUUUCAUCUCGAACUGAUCACCAUUUGGUAGUAAUACGAAACAAUAAGCGGAACACAUAUGUCAUCUUCACAUUUCCAGUUUAUACGGUUGUGUUCAUUUUGGUCCUGAAAAAAUCCCGACUUCAUGAGAGCUCUAGAGAAUUUAACCAUAUCAAUUCUCAUGGAUACGACCCACAUCACUCUCAUAUAGGUAAUGCUAAUUAAGGAUAGUCCGUUCUAUCCCACUUUAAGAAAAGCUAUUAGCAUAAUUAAGAAUAAAUUAUUCAUCCCUUAAUCAUCAACGGAAACACACUUUGAAUCGUCAUUGGAAUAGGCGAAUGUGUGUUAUGUAACGUGAGUCUUCCUCAACUAGUUUGCCUAUUGAACCUAGACCAUGGGAUCUCCAAUGUUGCUAGGUUAGGUUUCCGCCAAGUAAUGAUUCAUUGUGUUGGCUUGAGACUCAUUCCCCUCGAUGUAAAUACGAUUUGCUCUUUAGGUAGGCCUUUAGUCAAAGGAUCAGCCAAGUUUUCCUUUGAUUUAAUAUAAUCCAAUGCUAUAACGCUAUUGGAGAGUAAUUGUCGUAUUGUAGCAUGUCGUCGCCUAAUAUGCCUUGACUUACCAUUAUACAUUGUGUUUUUGCCUCUAUUUAGGGAAGCCAUACUAUCACAAUGGAUACAUAGAGCCGUUAAUGGCUUAGGCCAUAAUGGAAUAUCUUCAAUGAAAUUUCGAAGCCACUCGGCUUCUUCGGCAGCUUUAUCCAAGGCUAUAAAUUCUUAUUCCAUUGUAGAACGUGUUAUGCAUGUAUGUUUAGAUGACUUCCAAGACACGGCACCUCCAUUAAGUGUAAAAACAUAACCACUUGUGGAUUUACUAUCCGUGCUUCUGGAGAUCCAAUUGGCAUCGCUAUAUCCUUCCAAAACAUGAGGAUAUUUUGUGUAAUGAAGACCAUAAUUAAUUGUAUGCUUUAAGUAUCUUAAUACUCUAAUUAAAGCAUGCCAAUGUUCUCUACAAGGAUUGCAUGAGUACCGACUCAACCGGCUCAUGGAAUAUGCCAAUCUGGUCUUGUACAAUUCGUAAUGUACAUUAAGCUUCCAACUAUUUGUGUGUAUUCUAAUGGUUACACACUUUCUCCAUAGUUCUUUGAAAGCUUACACACACACACUCAAAGCCUAUUAACACAUAUAUCAAGUGAAUACAUAUAAAGGCUAACAUCAAAACUAUUUUUCCAAUGUGGGAGUCUCCCACAUUCUCCAACANNNNNNNNNNNNNNNNNNNNNNNNNNNNNNNNNNNNNNNNNNNNNNNNNNNNNNNNNNNNNNNNNNNNNNNNNNNNNNNNNNNNNNNNNNNNNNNNNNNNNNNNNNNNNNNNNNNNNNNNNNNNNNNNNNNNNNNNNNNNNNNNNNNNNNNNNNNNNNNNNNNNNNNNNNNNNNNNNNNNNNNNNNNNNNNNNNNNNNNNNNNNNNNNNNNNNNNNNNNNNNNNNNNNNNNNNNNNNNNNNNNNNNNNNNNNNNNNNNNNNNNNNNNNNNNNNNNNNNNNNNNNNNNNNNNNNNNNNNNNNNNNNNNNNNNNNNNNNNNNNNNNNNNNNNNNNNNNNNNNNNNNNNNNNNNNNNNNNNNNNNNNNNNNNNNNNNNNNNNNNNNNNNNNNNNNNNNNNNNNNNNNNNNNNNNNNNNNNNNNNNNNNNNNNNNNNNNNNNNNNNNNNNNNNNNNNNNNNNNNNNNNNNNNNNNNNNNNNNNNNNNNNNNNNNNNNNNNNNNNNNNNNNNNNNNNNNNNNNNNNNNNNNNNNNNNNNNNNNNNNNNNNNNNNNNNNNNNNNNNNNNNNNNNNNNNNNNNNNNNNNNNNNNNNNNNNNNNNNNNNNNNNNNNNNNNNNNNNNNNNNNNNNNNNNNNNNNNNNNNNNNNNNNNNNNNNNNNNNNNNNNNNNNNNNNNNNNNNNNNNNNNNNNNNNNNNNNNNNNNNNNNNNNNNNNNNNNNNNNNNNNNNNNNNNNNNNNNNNNNNNNNNNNNNNNNNNNNNNNNNNNNNNNNNNNNNNNNNNNNNNNNNNNNNNNNNNNNNNNNNNNNNNNNNNNNNNNNNNNNNNNNNNNNNNNNNNNNNNNNNNNNNNNNNNNNNNNUAUAUAUAUAUAUAUAUAUAUAUAUAUAUAUAUAUAUAUAGUCAUUAAGAUGACCAAUGUACCCUUAAGUUCUUCUUUUUUUCUUUAGUUUUUUUUAAUUUGUUUUCAUAGGUAUAUAUACGGGUAAAUUAGUAAUCUUAAUAGAUAUAUAUUAAGUCAAAUUAGUAAUCUUAAUAGGUAUACAUACUAAUCUUAGGUCGGGAUAGAAAUAUGAGAUACCAAUAUGAUAUUUUUAAAACUAGAUAUACCAAAGUUUAUAAAAAGCAAAAGUUCGUAUACCAUUCAGACGAAUUUUUCAAACGAUUAUAAGAUUAUAAGAAAAAAAGGGGCGGAUCCGUGACAUACAAGAUUAUAAUCAAAAUUAUGACCAGAACAUCAACCAUUAGAUCUAAUAACAACUAACGGUUGAGAUUAGUCAUAAAAACUAAAAACAAUUUAUGUUCUUUUCUUUUUCUUUAAAACAAUCAAUGAAAUCUAUCUAUUAAAAACAUAAUGAAUAUUGAUGAUUACCUACUCUCAUUUUAAUUGGAAUACAAUUAACAGGAAGGUAAUGAUUUUCAUUUGAUUUGAAACUCGUUUACUAUAAUGUACCAUCAUCAUCUAUGUUAUAAACUAAGAAUGAGAUAGAGAGAAAAGAGAAGAACAAAAUGUAGGAGAAGGAAGAAGUGUCACUUUCAUUCUCAUUAGACUCCUUUAUAUAGGAGUAUGAUUUACAUUUUAAGCACAUAAGUAAUGAGUAUUUACAAGGACAUCCACAUAUAUUAUAAUAUUUACAACACUCCCCCUUGGAUGUCCACCAAUAAAUGAUAUGGUGUUGGACGCGCUUAUUUGUUGUCUCGUUAAAAACCUUGCCAUGUAAUAAAAACCCUGUGGGAAAAAACAACCCUGAUCGAAGGAGAAAAAGAGUGCAACGCGCAUAUGUCCUAAGUAGCAUACUUCUGGAUGCUCCCCCUGAUAAGAUUCUCCCCCUGAUUGUUGCAAGUUUCAUGUACCAUAAAUAUCGGUUUGAUUUGUCUAUCAUUGAAGUGAGAUCUUGUUCGUUUUACAUAUAGGGCUCAUUGCAAAAUUUUCGUACCUGCAAAAUGAAAACAAUACCAACAGAACUAUACAACUUUUAAUUAGUCUUACCUCAUGUUCAAAUUUAUACAUUAUGUAAUAACUAAGCAGUAGAAGCUAAUUAAUUAACACAUUACUAUGUAUGGUUCAAACCAUUGGAAGAUCAGCAUGGCAUAUCUAGCCACUCAUAUCAAUAUCUCUGUUUAUUGGUACAUCUCGUAUAUGCUCUUCAAGAGCUCUAAGCAAUUCAUAACUUCGCGAAAGUUAGAAUAUGUAGCAACAUAAUCCGAAUUCGAUUUUGUAGUCCAAUCAUAAUACUCAUUGAGGCAAUUUUGAUCACGUUAACUAUAACAGAAUGAGUAUAGAUGAGCUAGCUUUAGACUAUUAAUUGCAUGAGUUAACUUUAGUUUAACAGCCCAGCAUAACAAGAGAUAUGCUCGCCUUUAGGCCUCCCCCUCAUGCCUUUCUUCUUGGGUUCCAACCCAAGUCACAACUCACUAAUGGGAGUUAUGUUUGCAUGUAUAAGGCAUAUUACGUCAUUUCCCUUAGGCAUAUUACGUCAUUUCCCUUAGGCGAUAAGGAAUCUCAUAUUCAGACUCUCUCAAGUAUUCAUGGAUCGAUUUACGUUCGAAUCAUUCAUGUACUUGGAUACUUUAAGGAUUUGAUAAGCGAUACACUUAUAACGACGCUUCACUUUUGGGAAGUCUUUUAAGAUCCUUAUAAUAUACGAUGACAACUGCCGUAAGUCUCUCGUCAAUAAAUAUAUGUAACACUGUACUUACAGAAAAUUGUCACGUAUAAGGAAAGAUAUUCGUAAUCCCCAUGUCUCUUGUAGACAUUGUGCCAUAGUGAUUUAUUUUCAUUGUGAUUAAUACCUUUUUUGUAUCAUGUAGGGUUAAAGGUUUAAGCAUCUUAUCACGUUUCAGAUAUUCAGUUUAAUUUGAAUUGCCUCUAUCUAAUUUGGCCAAUAAUAUGAUUUGUCGACAUUCAUAAUAAAACGUGGUAUUGCAUCAUACAAUCCUUAAUGGUCUUUGGUAGCUACCAUAUGCAAAUUUUCAUUGAUGAUCAUCAUUUAUAGAUCUCACACAUUCUUAUAUGCAUGCAUUAGUUACUAUGAGCUUAUUGAUAUUGGGUACCCAUGCCACUUCUGGGGCAAAUAUUGUCACUUCUACGACAAACAUCUCUCAUAGAUGAAUUAUAUCUAACGAAUGUGGAUAUAUAUUCAUAAUAUCAUAAUACAUUAUAGGAUCUGUAUAAUCUUCCAUUUUCAAGAGCUUAAAACUUUAGACCUAGUGGAUACAUUCCACUCAGAUUCACGCCGUUAUUCAAAUGACAGUAGUCUUUUCUCUCCCCCUAAUGGCGGGAAUCGAACACUGUCUUAUCAUGACCAAGCAUAAAUAUACGUUUAAAUGUCUAUCACAUCUUUUCGAGUAAAGAUGUCCAUUGGCUGGUGGCGAACCCAAACCAAGUGUAAGGUCAAAAAUAUUAAAUUCAUGAGUAUCAACCAUAUGGAUGUAUUUUUGUAUGACCAAGAUAUCAUCAUCUAAUGGUGUACUUUUAACCUUUGUAUGUGUAAUAUUGUAGCCGCUAUAUUAGGAACUUGAACAUUUUUAAUGACAUUCUCGUCAUGAGAACCAUGUCACGUAGAUACACAUUCCUCCCACAAAUCAAAUGGGGUCAAGGUUGUUUUGUUAAUAUGGUUAGUCUCAUAGACUUUAACCCAAGCAAGUGUUUUUGUGCUAACAUAUAGUUUUGUCAUCACUAGCUUUAAUAAAUCACUAGCUGAGAUAUUUCUCAAGCUCAAAAUAAGACAGUAGGUAAAUAUUACACAACAAUUCAUUUGUUCUUCAAAAAUAAUAUUUCUCCCCCAUAUAACAAGAGGAGUGUCUCAUUAAGGUGAUAACCCAAAACAGAGAUGAGGCAAAUGAACAAUUUGCUCAAAGUAGCGUUACCUAGUGGUCAUCAAGAGUUGUUACUGAUUCCAAGUAACACUUUAUGUAAAAUAUGACGUAACUAGUCAUGCCAAAAUAAUGUAAAUUUUGUUCAAUGAACUGUUGUUUCAUGACAUUUUGUGUCUCACUUUACUAUAGAAUUUGACACGUAAUAGGCCGCAUAGCGAGAUACUGUGUGCUUUGGAUCUCGCCUCACAAUUUUGUUCUUGGGUUGCAACCCAAAAUGCAUCACAAUAUAGGGAGGUAUGUUUGCAUAUUAGACACAUCUCCUGCCAUCCCUUGGGUGAGGUAGGACCUCACAUCACAGUAUGUGUUAUAUAAUCUGGGGACAUUCUGGAGGCGCGCACUUAAUGUAAAAAUGGGAUAGUAUGUGCUCUUCCAAAGCCAUCAUUCAUAUAUAUAAUCGAAGCUUCAUGUCCGAUUUUAUAAUGGUACGUAGAACUACAAGUUCUUAGAAUGUUAACUGCAAGUUAAUGUUGCUCGAAACUUCAGGCUUGAGUAACUCAAGUGAAACGUCAAAUUCACUUUUAAGUCAUUGAUAUUUUAUACUCAAAACUUCGGUUUGAGUUUCUGCUGUUAGAACCUCGGUAACUCUUAUGAAAAUUUUGAAAAAUAUUUCACUUGAAAAUUAUAUGUUUGAGAUAUAGGAUUGUUAGCCCUUAUGAUUAACAAUAAAGUUUAGUAUAGGAAAAUAAUUAACAAAUUCUAAAAUUGUAAGGAACAAGAAUAAAAAAAAAUGUGACAAUGGAAACUUCUGGUUCCAUAAGAAGUACAAGAACUUCUAGUCUAGUUACCUUCACGAAUAUGAUAAUCUUGUUUCUCUCCUCUAAUUUCACAACAAUGUUGUAUCAAAAUAAAUAGGAGCUUCAGGUCCUCAUAUAAUUAAGGAUGAUAAGAAAACCAUAUUGUAUAACUCUGAGGAGCUUCUGGUCCUUGUUAAUUGCAUAAGAGGGUCUAAUUACCCAUUUUCAUUGAGAACAAGCUUGACAAAGAAUGUCGCUUGAAAAAGUUAUAUGUUUUGUCAACAAUGGAUGACCAUUGGAAUUUGUAUAAAAAUAUUCUAUAUAUCAUUAUAUAUCUAGAGUGACUUAAACGAUCAUGCCAAAGCAUAAAUGUAUCGUUGUCCUUGAACUUCUGGUUCAUGACAUGACAUGUCUCAAUAGACUUAAUGGUUGUGUAAUAUAAACCAAAUAAUAGGCCAACCAACCUUUUCAAUACGCGGCUUUGGCUGAUAAUAUAGGAAGUAAUGAAAACAUAUGCCACAUUCUUGACGUUGGUGGUCCAAACAUGAAAUCCAUUCAAACAAAUAUCCUUGAAACUUAGGAAAUUCCUUCUUGGUCUAGGAAUUUGGAAGACUAAUGUGGGCUCUUCCGGAGCCUUCAACCGAAUUGGCAAUACCAUAUAUGGUGGUCACCUUAGUUUAAGAAGGUACUCAGAUGGAGAAAAUUUCCGAUCACGAAGGAUUAUAUGUGUGGAGGCAUUGUCAGCAAGACAAAUAUCUUCUCCAAUUUUAAAUUGAGCGUGUUCAUGAUCCAUGUUCAUAACUUCAUAAUAAAAUAAGAUAAAAUAUAAGCAACAAUAGAAUAUAUUACCGCAACAAAUGAAAUUAAACGUAAUAAUACGAUAACUAUCAUCAAUGAAUACCAGUCCAGAAAUUCAUAGAUUAACACUAGUCCAGGAAAAACAACUAUGUUGUACCGUUACUUUUCCUAUCAAAAUAGAGUGAGAUGAAGAAGAUAACUAAUUGACUCGUAAAGAUACGAUAAGCUCCGCUAGAAAUUUAGUGGAAAACAAACCUUUAUAUGUACACUUUACCUGAUCGUCAGUUACUAGACCAAAGCCAAUAAUGAGGAAAUUAUUAGAUGCAAAGCAUGUUACGCGUUGGAAAGAGAAGAAUAAAAUUUUGUUUUAUUAUCACAUAAUAAAAGUGAAAUUAAGAACCGUCAUUAAUAAGAGUAAUUUACACAAUAGUGAGAUAAUGGUGAUAGAAAUCAUGGUAAUAAAAAAACUAUUAAUAACAACCCCGAAUAAUAAAAAUGGUAAUUUGAAGAGUCAUUAAAAAAAUAACUGAUCACAUGAUGGUAGUAAACUGAGUUAAUUAUUUUAGUAACUCUCACAUUAAAUCAAUAACUCACACAUCAAUUCAAUAACUCCCACAUAAGGUAAGUAAAAGAAUGGUAAUAGUCUCAUUAACAUGGUUGCAACUUGCAACUAAUGUUCAUUACUACAACAAUAAUAGCUAUAAUCAAAUAUCAUCAUUUGUUGAUCAUAUCAACAUGUUUCUCAUUGUCCACGAAUUGUCCAGAUGGAUCUCAAUGAGACUGUUAGUAAGUAUGAGUGAAUGUUACUCAUAAACAUGGGAGCCCCAAUGGUUAGAAAAUGCUCCAUUUGGUGUAUGUUCGAACUGAUUCAAGCUAGGUUACUCGAAAAGUUGGCUUUGACAAAAUGAUAAGACUUUGUUUACACAAGCCACUGCUGUUACAGUUUUUGGAUUACAAGACAUUGAUUCUUUGUCCCAUAGAUAUUGAACUUAAUUAAUUGGAAGAACUGAAGAUUGAAAAAGAUAUAUAUGUAAGUGUUGGGAGAUCGAGUACGUUGUUAUGUAGAUAAUUCAGUUGAAUUCUCAAAUUCUGCAUAGAGUUGAGUAUUGAUAGGAUCAGUAACAUGUUUUCAAUAGUCUCUCAAACGUUGAUUAUUUUGUUAUUAAUUAGACAUCAAUCUGAUUCCUAGACUGGUAGAUUAAUAUCUUGACUUUGGCUUACAAAAUCAUCGGAUACAGUUAGUGAUGUGGCCGGAGAGGUUGUCGAGAUUGGACAGGAAGUUCGAAAGUUCAAAGUGGGCGACAAAGUUGUGGCGAUUCUCAGCCUCUAUGUGAGUGUUCUAAUCUUCCUUCAGAGCUUAACGGUUCCUAGGCCGGCUGAAGUUUCAGCAGCUGAAGCUGCAGGGUUACCUGUUGCUGGAAUCACAGCUCACAAGUGUCUUACUGAAGCAGCAGGAAUCAAGCUGGACAGCACAGGCCCGGCGAAGAACAUAUUGGUUACUGCUGCCUCUGGAGGUGUAGGACACUAUGCAGUCCAACUAGCUAAGCUGGGAAACCAUCAUGUCACAGCCACUUGUGGAGCUCGUAACAUUGAUUUCGUCAAGAGCUUAGGCGCUGACGAGAUUCUUGACUACAAGACUCCUGAAGGGGCAGCCCUGAAGAGCCCUUCUGGUCGGAAAUAUGAUGUUGUGAUCGACUGUACAACGGGCAUUCCCUGGUCCAUUUUGAAGCGGAAUUUGAGUCCAAAUGGAAAGGCCGUAGUCAUUACAUUCGGGCCAAAGGCUGUGCUUACUUUCGCUCUACAGAAACUCACCUUCUCCAAGCAGAAGCUGGUGCCAUUGCUGGUGUUUCGCAAGGCUGAGAACCUGGAAUAUCUUGUUAAGUUGGUAAAGGAAGGAAAGUUGAAGACGGUGUUUGACUCGAGGCAUCCUCUGAGCAAGGCUGAAGAUGCUUGGGGUAAGAGCAUCGGCGGCCACGCUACCGGGAAGAUCAUUGUGGAACCUUAAGUACGUAGUUGCACAAUCUAUUCUUUUUGUAUAAUGUAUACUUCAUGUACUUGAUUGAUGUUGUGGUUUCCUGUUGAUGGUUGGUAUGCGGAGUAGGAUCUGAGAGUUCAUAAUGAUUGUUUUCUUUGUUGUAUGGGAAUAUAUAGUUUUGUAACGAUAUUUGAUUUCAUAAUGAUAUGGUCUGGAUUUUACCGUCCAUUUUGUUUGCUCUUUGUGCAUGCAUGGUAGAAUACAGAGCCAUAAAUGUCAAUUUGGUACUCUUAACCUAGGGCACAAAUUAUCUAUAUGUUCCUAUUUUGUCAAACAUAUUCUCCCUUGAGCAAACUUUGCUGUAGAUACGAUAUGAUAUAUAUGAAAAAGUGCUCUUCCUAUGUGCUUCCAACUUAAUUGAUUUCUUUGUCAAAUAAGACCGUCUUGCUGAUUGAUUUGGCUUAGUCUCAUCCUGCUCCUUAAUUUGGUUUGUGUUCUCAGCGUUCCAUUUGGUAACCUAAAAGUGGGCGUCUCUCGUGGUUUUGUUUUGUAUCCUACAUAAAGAAAAUUUGAUUUCUCUGGAUGGAUACUGUAGUCAAGAGUCAAGACUUUUCCUUAUCCAAUUGCAUGUUAAUGCACAAACGCUUCGUAGUGCUCCACAAAAUCUAAGACGAGCUUUCAACUUGUGCCAGCUCUCGUUCAAUUGAAGCUGACUAACUACCAAUGACUAUGCAUGCACUUCAAUACGUAUUAUGAUUAUGGUAGAGGACCUUCAGGAUUGCCUUUGGUCCUCAUUUGCUUCAGUUUUCACAAGCUGACCCCAACUUAUUUGAGAAUGAGAAUUUGACAUAUAUCAAAGCUCAACGAUUUGUGUGUGAUCAUAGAAAUGUCAAGGAUGAAAAUUCAAAGACACGUUUCUUUUCUGCUUUUCUCUUCUUUGCUUAGGCUCAGAGGUUGAGGCUGUGGCUGUGAAUGAUACUUGGGAGUCUGACACUUUGUUAUGUCGAUUUGAAAUCCAAAAUGUUGUGCUUGAAUGAUAUAAAUCAUUAACAUUGAAAAGUAUAUGAAUGAUAACUACAAGUUACGCGUAUCAGUCUAAGAAAAUACCAAUUGUGAUACCAUGCAAAAAAUUGAAAGGAACCAAUUAAUGAAUAUACCAUGGUUAUUAUAAAACUCGAAGUCGUUCUGCAAAUCUGCAAACUUACACUCUUCUCUCUCUGCAAAUGAAAGCCAUGGCGGUAAAGGUUAUGCGUGCGGUUCAGUACAACAGUUACGGUGGAGGACCUUCUGGUUUAAAGGUUCGUUAUUAAUUUUUCUGCUUCUUUUCUUUCUGGCUUUAUAGCCACAGUUGGGGGUUGAAUUGAAGUUUGUGAAGAGAGGCUUAAUUUGUUUGGUGUCCAGAGUAGGAUGAUACUGUUUGUUUCUUGUUGCAGCAUGUUGAUAUUCCGGUCCCAACUCCAAAGAAAGAUGAGGUUUUGCUGAAAGUGGAAGCAGCUAGUAUAAAUCCAGUUGAUUGGAAGCUGCAGAAAGGCACGGCGCGGCCUUUUUACCCUCGCAGUUUACCUCAUACACCUGGUAACUUUCUUGUUCAUGCAUUUAAAAUUUGAGUGAAUGUGCUUGAUUAAAUAAGUUGAGAGUACUAAUUAGUUCUUACAGUACUGCUUCGGGAUAAAAAUUAUAGAAUUGAAUACUGGAAAGGAUUGUCAACAUGUUUUCAAUAUAACCUCGAUCUCAUACUCGCAUUGAUUAGCUUGUUAUUAGACAUCUAGCUAUGUGAUUCUUAGUCUGCUAGAUUAUUUUAUUGAAUUUGGCUGAUGAAACUAUCGGACACAGCUUGUGACGUAGCCGGAGAGGUUGUCGAGGUUGGACAAGAAGUUCGUGAUUUCAAAGCCGGCGACAAAGUUGUCGCAGCUCUCACCCUUGCUGUAAGUGCUCAUUUUGGUAACAUUCAACUUGUUCAUUUUGGUAUCAUUGAUUUCUUUUAUGCUGAUUUCAUCCAUGCUUUACUUUAUAUAUGUUAAUAGACCGGAGGUGCAUUUGCCGAGUAUGCAACUGCUAGUGAGCGUUUCACGGCUAUUAGGCCGGCUGAAGUUUCAUCAGCCGAAGCUGCAGGAUUACCUGUUGCUGGUCUCACAGCUCACCAAUGUCUCACAGAAGCUGCAGGAAUCAAGCUGGAUGGCACAGGCCCUCAGAAGAACAUAUUGAUUACGGCUGCCUCUGGUGGUGUGGGAACCUUUGCAGUUCAACUAGCCAAGCUAGGAAACACUCAUGUCACGGCCACUUGUGGAGCUCGUAACAUCGAUUUCGUCAAGGGCUUAGGUGCUGAUGAGGUUCUUGACUACAAGACCCCUGAAGGGGCAGCUCUGAGUAGCCCUUCUGGUAGGAAAUAUGAUGCUGUGAUCCACUGUGCAACAGCCAUUCCUUGGUCUACUUUCAAGGCAAAUUUGAGUCCAAGUGGGAAGGUCAUAGACAUUAGUCCCAGGCUAAGUAACUGGCUCACUAUGGCUGUAAACAAACUCACCUUCUCCAAGAAGCAGCUAGUGCAGCUGAUGGUGAAUCCCACUGCUGAGAAUCUGGACUAUCUUGUUAAGUUGGUGAAGGAAGGAAAGCUCAAGACGGUGAUCGACUCAAAGUAUCCUCUGAGCAAGGCUGAAGAAGCUUGGGCUAAGAGUAUAGAUGGUCAUGCUACUGGGAAGAUCAUUGUGGAGCCUUAAGUAGUUGCGCAAUCUAUUCCUUGGUAUUGUAAACUGUAAUUCUAGGUUUCUAAGUUUCUAUUGAUAUAUAUGAUGGAUGGUCUGUGG
Molecule: long non-coding RNA, 25158 nt
Filed under: Fragaria vesca (wild strawberry)
Lineage: Eukaryota; Viridiplantae; Streptophyta; Magnoliopsida; Rosales; Rosaceae
Description: long non-coding RNA (FVES_LNC000619)
Source: RNAcentral